Parelaphostrongylus tenuis is the source of this 74-nucleotide non-coding RNA. The record is from the annotation of a GenBank genome assembly. Lineage: Eukaryota; Metazoa; Nematoda; Chromadorea; Rhabditida; Metastrongylidae.
GCCUCUGUGGUGUAGUGGUAUCAGCACGCGCCCCUGGAUGCGGUGAAACGGGGGUUCGAUUCUCGCCUGAGGCC